This 497-nucleotide ribosomal RNA is filed under the name uncultured bacterium. RNAcentral describes it as "partial 16S ribosomal RNA". It matches the Rfam family "Bacterial small subunit ribosomal RNA", at positions 28 to 507 of the family's 1533-position model. The record is from RNAcentral.
GAUGAACGCUGGCGGCGUGCCUAAUACAUGCAAGUCGAGCGAACAGACGAGGAGCUUGCUCCUCUGACGUUAGCGGCGGACGGGUGAGUAACACGUGGAUAACCUACCUAUAAGACUGGGAUAACUUCGGGAAACCGGAGCUAAUACCGGAUAAUAUAUUGAACCGCAUGGUUCAAUAGUGAAAGAGGGUUUUGCUGUCACUUAUAGAUGGAUCCGCGCCGCAUUAGCUAGUUGGUAAGGUAACGGCUUACCAAGGCAACGAUGCGUAGCCGACCUGAGAGGGUGAUCGGCCACACUGGAACUGAGCCACGGUCCAGACUCCUACGGGAGGCAGCAGUAGGGAAUCUUCCGCGAUGGGCGAAAGCCUGACGGAGCAACGCCGCGUGAGUGAUGAAGGUCUUCGGAUCGUAAAACUCUGUUAUUAGGGAAGAACAAAUGUGUAAGUAACUAUGCACGUCUUGACGGUACCUAAUCAGAAAGCCACGGCUAACUACGUG